Molecule: non-coding RNA, 25 nt
Filed under: Rattus norvegicus (Norway rat)
Lineage: Eukaryota; Metazoa; Chordata; Mammalia; Rodentia; Muridae
Source: RNAcentral
UGUCAGAUCCGAAAGAGGAUACCCA